UUCUUCAUUUUGGAGAAGAAGAAAACUAGAAGAAGAAGAAGAAGAAGCUUCUUCUUCUUCUUCUUCUAGUUUUCUUCUUCUCCAAAAUGAAGUU
RNAcentral lists this microRNA precursor (94 nucleotides) under Triticum dicoccoides. Its description in RNAcentral is "pre miRNA MIR164". The record is from RNAcentral. Lineage: Eukaryota; Viridiplantae; Streptophyta; Magnoliopsida; Poales; Poaceae.